This 451-nucleotide ribosomal RNA is filed under the name uncultured bacterium. Its description in RNAcentral is "partial 16S ribosomal RNA". It matches the Rfam family "Bacterial small subunit ribosomal RNA", at positions 29 to 523 of the family's 1533-position model. The record is from RNAcentral.
AGCGAACGCUGGCGGCAGGCUUAACACAUGCAAGUCGAGCGGCCGUAGCAAUACGGCAGCGGCAGACGGGAGAGUAACACGUGGGAACGUACCCUUCAGUACGGAACAACCAAGGGAAACCUUGGCUAAUACCGUAUACGUCCGUAAGGAGAAAGAUCUAUCGCUGAAGGAUCGGCCCGCGUCUGAUUAGCUAGUUGGUGAGGGAACGGCUCACCAAGGCGACGAUCAGUAGCUGGGCUGAGAGGAUGAUCAGCCUCACUGGGACUGAGACACGGCCCAGACUCCUACGGGAGGCAGCAGUGGGGAAUAUUGGACAAUGGGCGCAAGCCUGAUCCAGCCAUGCCGCGUGGAUGAUGAAGGCCCUAGGGUUGUAAAGUCCUUUUAACGGGGAAGAUAAUGACGGUACCCGUAGAAUAAGCCCCGGCUAACUUCGUGCCAGCCGCCGCAGUAA